GGCAGUGUGGUUCAGUGGUAGAAUACUUAUCUAGCAUGAGUGAAGCGCUGAGUUCCAUCCCCAGCACUGCAA
RNAcentral lists this transfer RNA (72 nucleotides) under Marmota monax (woodchuck). Its description in RNAcentral is "tRNA.Ala". The record is from RNAcentral. Lineage: Eukaryota; Metazoa; Chordata; Mammalia; Rodentia; Sciuridae.